Molecule: ribosomal RNA, 421 nt
Filed under: uncultured eukaryote
Lineage: Eukaryota
Description: bacterial SSU rRNA
Rfam family: Eukaryotic small subunit ribosomal RNA
Source: RNAcentral
CAAUAGCGUAUAUUAAAGUUGUUGCAGUUAAAAGCUCGUAGUCGGAUUUUGGCAUCAUGCCGAACUGUCAGCCGAUUGGUUUGUACGGUUUGGCGGGUGCUCUCCUUCCGGAGGCUCGUUUCCUCUUUCAUUAGAGGGUUCGAUGGUUCCGGGUCUUUUACUUUGAAAAAUUAGAGUGUUCAAAGCAGGCCUAUGCUCUGAAUAGGUUAGCAUGGAAUAAUAAAAUAGGACUUUGGUUCUAUUUUGUUGGUUUCUAGGACCGAAGUAAUGAUUAAUAGGGACAGUUGGGGGCACUCGUAUUCCGUCGAGAGAGGUGAAAUUCUCAGACCAAUGGAAGACGAACCACUGCGAAAGCAUUUGCCAGGGAUGUUUUCACUGAUCAAGAACGAAAGUUAGGGGAUCGAAGAUGAUCAGAUACCAU